UCUCCUCACACCAGCGAUUCUACCGUCUCCAAAUCAAACCAUAAUGGAGAAUCAGAGUCAGCUCCCAGCCGCCGCCGCCGUUCCCCAACCCCCAGCCGCCGCCGUCCCUCCCCAGCCCCCUCUCGCCGCCUUCAACCCGACUCUUCACCCUGUCACCUGUGGAUGCGGCAGUAAGAUUCAAAUCAGGUUCCCGUACGGUGCUCAUCAUAGGGUCACAUGCCGGAGGUGCGGUGACUAUUUUCACUUCGACAUCCCAGCAAAUGAUUGAGCUGUUUAAGCUGGACGCUGAGAUAGUAUGGAUUUUGAAUCUUCGUGAUGGAGCUUCUUAACUUGGCUGCUGACAAAUACAAAUAGGAUUUCUGGAAGUACAUACAUACUCUUGUUUCCCCUCUAUCCAAGUACUUUUCCCUAAAUCAAGAUUUGGUUGCAUGUAAGGGUGCCAAAUACCACUUUAUUCCAUAUCUACUCCAAGUUUAGAAGAUUUAGAUGUGUUUUUUUUUAGUAAUAGUUGGAAUUAGGGUAAACGGGCAUUCAUGUCCAUGAAGAAAUAUAAACAGUGAAACUUGGAAUUAGUUUGAUAAUGAGUUGGCAACAUUUGUGAUUCAUUUCCUUCAACUGGUUUGAAGGUAUUGGAAGUCCCAUUAGGUGUGGUAUUUGGAUGAUAAAAUUAA
Molecule: long non-coding RNA, 671 nt
Organism: Cornus florida
Lineage: Eukaryota; Viridiplantae; Streptophyta; Magnoliopsida; Cornales; Cornaceae
Exons: 3
Source: RefSeq, a predicted model, not a curated record